RNAcentral lists this ribosomal RNA (2250 nucleotides) under human gut metagenome. RNAcentral describes it as "bacterial LSU rRNA". It matches the Rfam family "Bacterial large subunit ribosomal RNA", at positions 1 to 2351 of the family's 2925-position model. The record is from RNAcentral.
UAAAGCUAGAAAGAGCGCAGGGCGGAUGCCUUGGCAUUGGGAACCGAAGAAGGACGCGGUUAACUGCGAAAAGCUGCGGUGAGUUGUAAGCGAACUAAGACCCGCAGAUAUCCGAAUGGAGCAAUCCACAUGAGAGAAGCUCAUGUAUCAUAUACUGAAUCAAUAGGUAUAUGAGGGGAACCUCCCGAACUGAAACAUCUAAGUAGGGAGAGGAAAAGAAAUCAACCGAGAUUUCGAGAGUAGUGGCGAGCGAAAUCGAAAGAGGCCAAACCGACGGAAGCAAUUCAGUCGGGGUUGCGGACUGCAAAAAGCAUUGUCGAAGCUUAAUAGAACAGGAUGGGAAGCCUGACCGAAGAACGUGAAAGUCGUGUAAAUGAAAAGCAGAGACAGCAGGCAGAAUCCAGAGUACCGCGGGACACGAGAAACCCCGUGGGAAGCAGGGGGGACCACCCUCCAAGCCUAAAUAUUCCCCAAUGACCGAUAGCGAAGAGUACUGUGAAGGAAAGGUGAAAAGAACCCCGGGAGGGGAGUGAAAAAGAACCUGAAACCCUGUGCUUACAAGCACUGAGAGCACGUCAAAGUGUGAUCAGGUACCUUUUGUAGAAUGGUCCGGCGAGUUAUCGUAUGCAGCAAGGUUAAGAACUUAAGGUUUGAAGCCGAAGCGAGAGCAAGUCUGAAAAGGGCAUCAAGUUGCAUGCGAUAGACCCGAAACCGAGUGACCUAGCCAUGUCCAGGCUGAAGUGGAGGUAAAACUCCAUGGAGGGCCGAACCGACCCCCGUUGAAAAGGUGGCGGAUGAGGUGUGGCUAGCGGAGAAAUUCCAAUCGAACUCGGAUAUAGCUGGUUCUCCCCGAAAUAGCUUUAGGGCUAGCGUUGUAUUAGAUUACCGGAGGUAAAGCACUGAAUGGGCUAGGGGCCGAAAGGUUACUGAACCUUAUCAAACUAAGAAUGCCGGAUAAUUGAUGUACAGCAGUCAGACUGUGUGAGAUAAGUCUCACAGUCGAAAGGGAAACAGCCCAGACCCACAGCUAAGGUCCCAAAAUAGAUUUAAGUGGAAAAGGAUGUGGGGUUGCACAGACAACCAGGAUGUUGGCUUAGAAGCAGCCACUCAUUAAAAGAGUGCGUAAUAGCUCACUGGUCGAGUGACCCUGCGCCGAAAAUUCAACGGGGCUAAAAUCUAUACCGAAGCUUGGGCUGCAAUUGAAAGAUUGCGGGGUAGGGGAGCGUCGUAUAAGAGGAGAAGUCAUAGCGGAAGCGAUGGUGGAUUUUAUACGAGUGAGAAUGCCGGAAUGAGUAGCGAGAAUUAUGUGAGAAUCAUAAUGGCCGAAAAUCUAAGGAUUUAGGAGGAAGGUUCGUCCGCUCCUAGUAAGCCGGGAGCUAAGGCGAGGCGGAAACGCGUAGCCGAUGCACAUACGGUAGAAAUUCCGUAGCCUCUGAAAGAUUUAAGCACAAGGACACUUGAGAAGCGUUUAUCCGGGAGUUGGUAUUCCCGGUCGUAAGGGACCCCGAAUGGGGGAAGUAAAUGUGGAUUGAGGCAAGAAAAGUUGUGUGAAUAUCUGAAGAGCCCGUACCGCAAACCGACACAGGUAGAUAGGAAGAGAAUUCUAAGGCCAACGGGAGAAGGGUUGUUAAGGAACUCGGCAAGUUGACUCCGUAACUUAGGGAGAAGGAGUGCUCGAAAGAGCCGCAGAGAAUAGGCCCAAGCGACUGUUUAGCAAAAACACAGCUCUAUGCUAAAUCGAAAGAUGACGUAUAUGGGGUGACACCUGCCCGGUGCUGGAAGGUUAAGAGGAGAAGUGAGAGCUUUGAAUCGAAGCCCCAGUAAACGGCGGCCGUAACUAUAACGGUCCUAAGGUAGCGAAAUUCCUUGUCAGGUAAGUUCUGACCCGCACGAAUGGUGUAACGAUUUGGGCACUGUCUCAACAACCCGCCCGGCGAAAUUGUAGUACCGGUGAAGAUGCCGGUUACCCGCGACUAGACGGAAAGACCCCAUGGAGCUUCACUGUAGCUUAAUAUUGGAUUUUGGUAUUUCAUGUACAGGAUAGGUGGGAGACUGAGAAGCAAAGGCGUCAGCUUUUGUGGAGUCGCUGUUGGGAUACCACUCUUGAAGUGCUGAAAUUCUAACCUGCGCCCUUGAAUCAGGGCGGGGGACAUUGUUAGGUGGGCAGUUUGACUGGGGCGGUCGCCUCCAAAAAGGUAACGGAGGCGCUCAAAGGUUCGUUCAGCACGGACGGAAAUCGUGCAUUGAGUG